RNAcentral lists this ribosomal RNA (389 nucleotides) under Limacia clavigera. RNAcentral describes it as "partial 16S ribosomal RNA". It matches the Rfam family "Archaeal large subunit ribosomal RNA", at positions 2000 to 2655 of the family's 2987-position model. Lineage: Eukaryota; Metazoa; Mollusca; Gastropoda; Nudibranchia; Polyceridae. The record is from RNAcentral.
AUGAAUGGCCGCGGUACUUUGACCGUGCUAAGGUAGCGCAAUCAAUUGGCUUUUAAUUGAAGUCAGGUAUGAAUGGAAUUACGGGGUUGAGCUGUCUCUAAAUUAUUAUAUCGAAUUUACUAUAUAGGUGAAAAAGCCUAUAAAAUGAAAAAGGACGAUAAGACCCUUAGAGUUUAUCUAAAAUUGAAAAUAGUUUAAUUUUCAAAGCAGUUUAGUUGGGGCAACACAGGAGCAAAAAAAAAAUCUCCUAUAAAUAACAAAUCGAUUAUUUUAGAUAUGAAUAAACUACCUUAGGGAUAACAGCAUAAUUUUAUAAAUAAGUUUGUGACCUCGAUGUUGGACUAGGAAACUUAAAGGCUAGCCGCCUUUGAGGUAAGUUCUGUUCGAAC